This is a long non-coding RNA of Ictidomys tridecemlineatus (thirteen-lined ground squirrel), 3858 nucleotides long. RefSeq lists it as uncharacterized. The record is from RefSeq and is a predicted model, not a curated record. NCBI's taxonomy places the organism in Eukaryota, Metazoa, Chordata, Mammalia, Rodentia, Sciuridae.
CAGAGAGUUCUUCAGGGUCCUGCAAUGUCAUCUCGGUGGUGAACAUCAACAACAUUUUGUUAGUAUGUGCAGAAGUCUUGAGUCUUACUAGGUAUUUUGUUCAAUAAGAAGGUCUUCUAGGACAGAAUAUGACAUUGGAAGAGGAGUUUCUUGAAGGAUCAAACCCUAAAGACAUUGGACCUCUUUCUUUGGGAAGAGUUGAGACACAUUCCUCUGUCAUAGCUAUAAGGUUUUGGAAAUCAUUGUUUUAUUUUUCCUUUGUGAACUUCAAGUCAUUUGGUCAUUUGGUCUAGGAAACAUCUUAACAGGUUCACAUAAGGAUCUGAAGCUGGAGAGUUCCAUAAUGGCCAUCCGCAGGCUGGAGAGCUAGAGGAGCCAGCAGAAGCUGGAGCCUCAGGAGCCUCAGAAGAGGAGGAACUAAUGAUGCUGCUGCAGUCCAAGGCCAAAGGCCUGAUAUUGCUGGAGAAUUGCUGGUGGGAGACCUGCUAAAAGAGUGAAGAAGCUGGAAUCUGAUGUCCAUAGGUGAUGGUGGUAGAUAGAGAUGCACCUGCUCAAGAAGAGUCAAAUCUGCAUCUGCUGCAGCUCCCCCUUCAGAUUUUUGUUCCAUCUGGACCCCCAGCCACUGGACAGCCAUGCCCAUAUUCAGAGCAGAUGUCCUUCCUUGGUUUGUUGUCCUACACACCAAUCAUCAUUGAAAAGACUCUCAUGGACAUAGCCAAUCAUAGGGGUUCCCUAGGUGUCUGUCAGUCCAAUCAAGUUGACUAUCCUGAUUAACCAUCACACUUACCUACACAGAGGGAUACUUAGUCAUUAAGAAGACCAAAAAGAGGAAUGUGAAAAGACCCAAUUGUUGGAAGAAGAAUGGAGUUGUUAGGAUGAAAUGAGACCAUAGCUGUGACUAUCCUUUGGAAGGAAAUGCAGGAGAAAAAUACCAGAGGUGACAGUGAUGUUGGAUCCAUGGAUGAGAAGCCCACAGAGACAGAGGGCAACUAUAUUUUCCCGCUGAGAAGCUGAGCUCCACUGAAGUCAAACAAUCUGCCCAAGGUCACUCAGCCAACGUUCUACAGCACCAGUGUCACCAAAGAGACACUAUAUUCUGAAAGCAAUCCUGCCAAGGGCCAGGAAAUGGACAUUUUACACAAUUGCCUUGGAGAAGUUAAAAAAAAAACAGAUUUCCAAAUGCAUUAUCAAUAAGUAGGACAUUCUGAUCCUGAGAUUGGAAAUGGAGAAGACAUGGAACACUACCCCAGGAGCCCCAGCCCCUCCAGACUGGACCUGGGCGUGGACUGAGACUGGGAGCCACUGCCCUCUGCUGUACUAAGAGGAAAAUGGAAAUUUGGGAAGAGAAACAGAUACCCAGAGAAGGCCAUAUAAAGACAGAAAGAAGCAAGGACUGGAGUGAUACACAGGCAGAGGUUGGAGAGAUGUGCUGUAAACCAACAGCUGCUGAGGACUGUUAACAACUACAUCCUCAUAAACCAGGAAGAAGCAAGUGAGGAUUCUUCCUUGGAUCUUUCAAAGGGAGCAUCGCCUGGCUGUUAUCCUGAUUUGGGACUUCUAGCUUCCAGAACUAUGUGAAGAUAAUUUCUGUUGUUUUAGGUCACACGGAUACUAUGAUGGCAACCCUAGGAAAUCAGUAGAGGCCAAACCUUGGUUCAUCUGUGAUGCUGCCUACAGUGUACCCCAUGCUUCUCCUAUCCUGUGAGUUGUUUCACCAAUGGCUCAGUCUCAGUUGUAAAUCUGCCUCCUAAAGUCCCUAUUCCGGAGGAGAAAGACACCCAGCUGAAGAUGGACCAGCCAGCACCAUGUUCCUUCCCGUCUCUGGACCUAAAUGAUAAAGAGAAACUGUUUUACUUCCCUCUGCUCUCCAUUUUAUGCUCAUUUUUCCUGGUUUAGUUAGACCCUCAGGGUUAACAUGGAUUUUAAAAAUUCCUAGUCCCCACUGAAUGCCCGACUUCUCUUGGCAAUGUCUCUAGUAAGAGGUCAUCUUUCCCUCUCCCCUAGUUCAACUCCUCUGAGAUCGCAAGAAUAUCUUAUUGCCCCUUCCUUCUCCCUCUCACCCUUCCAUGGAUAUUCAUCAACUACCAGCUCUGUGCAGAGAGCAAAAGACUGAGCCCCUACCCAUAUAUUUGAUGCUAUAAAGCUCUUCCUUUGUCAGCCUCUGAUCUGCUGUCAAGGCAAGCCAAGCCUGUUGGUGGUCUAGGCAGGCAGGAGAAUUGUGGUGGUGAACUUGUCACUACUCCCCUUCAAGGUCAAUCAUGUCCUGCUCUCACAUCUAGACCAGUGUAGGCAUCAGGAAAGGAAAAACGGUUGAGAUGGCAUCUUACUCCUCUUUAAUCAGUCUGGGUUGCUGUAGGUGGCCUCCAAACCCAUUUUACAAGGCAAUUAAUGUUUAAAACCCUCCAACCAUGAGAGAAUUGGCCACCUCUAUGCUGUAUUUAUCUCCAAAUCAAAUUAAGUAUCUGAUGUGUGUUCAGAAGGGAUUGCUUUUAUUAUAUGGGACACACAUUGUCACAUGAUGUUGAAGAGUGUUAUCACACGUGUAUUUGCCAAAAUGCAAUAUAUGUAAUUAUAUAUUUCAUUGUAUAAGAAAUAAAAUCUUUGGCAGGGUUACCCAAUGCAUUGAAUAAUCUGAUGACAUUUUAUGGACAUUUUGGAGCUGGCAGAAACUUUGUAAUGAUCUAGCUUUCUCAUUUUUAUGACAGAGGAAACAAAAGUAGAAAGAGCUAACUUACCCUGUCCCACAGAGAGCCAGAGACUGACGGGAGAAUCACACUCACAUCUCUGGCUUCUUCCCAGUGGCCUGCGGGGAUGUAUUCCAUUUGUGGAUGAGACUCCUGAAGCUUUUGAAAAGCGAAACCUUUGAUGGACAGCCAAGGUCAUGUGACUGGUGUUUUUAUACAAUAUGGGAAGGGCACUUUAUUUGUUCUUGGAGAUAGACACCUUGAAAGCUGGAUAGAGCUAUGCCUACUAGGUGGAGAGAUGAAUGACCUUCAGGAGCUCUUCCAGCUUUUUGGAACGAGGAAAGCUUCCUACAGGACUGGAGGAGUAGGAGAGUGUAAUGUGAGAGACCCCUGGACCAGAGUCACCUUGGCGUCUUCUGACAUGCAGCGUGUCUGAGUCAUAAACUCUGGACUCAUCUCAGGGCUGGGCAGGGUUUUCAAAUCAUUUGCCACUCCCUGUCCUAAUGACUGGAACUUUGGAACACAUCUGUGAGAAACAGAGCCGCCCGUUGGUGGUAAGCAGAGACGUCACCAGCUUGCAAGCUAAGCUUCAGUGUCCCCUGAGAAUGCAGCCAGCUGGCAGCAGUGCAGAAAAGUGGUAAACACAUUGAGCUUUCUUUAUCAGCUGUGCCACGUACAUGAUGUGACAGCGGACUGGCUCUCAGGGUCAAGGCCAGCAGGGCCACUGAGGCUUUGUGUUAGCAGUUUGUCACUGCUGCUCAAUUUUCUCUGCUCUAUGCUUUGGCUCAAAGGUGGGUACUAGCCAUAGGCUGCUACUGCCUGGACCCCAGCCCCAAACCCACUGGAACAGGAAAGAGAUCAGCUUUGGAGACUUAGACUCUCGGGUAGCCCCUUAUGGUGGGAUGGGUGAAUGCCUUGAUUCCAGAAGAAUCCAGGGCUAGAAAAAGGAACUGAGAGGAAGUAUUGAAGCAGGCUUCAGGGCAGAGCUCUGACCCUACCCUGACUCAGAGAAGCCAUCCUGAUGUUGCCUUUCUUCCACACACAUGUGGUGGUUUAAUGCAAUGGAAUUUAUUGUGGAUAAUGGAGUUUCAAGCUCCUAUGGCUAAUGAAUGAUUUCAAACGUGGAGAAAGAUUUAUUAAAUAAGUCAAGCAUACGCCUCUGUGAGAAGAUGAC